Molecule: transfer RNA, 76 nt
Filed under: Escherichia coli
Lineage: Bacteria; Pseudomonadati; Pseudomonadota; Gammaproteobacteria; Enterobacterales; Enterobacteriaceae
Also listed under: 2 other names
Description: tRNA-Gly
Rfam family: tRNA
About the family: Transfer RNA (tRNA) molecules are approximately 80 nucleotides in length. Their secondary structure includes four short double-helical elements and three loops (D, anti-codon, and T loops).
Source: RNAcentral
GCGGGAAUAGCUCAGUUGGUAGAGCACGACCUUGCCAAGGUCGGGGUCGCGAGUUCGAGUCUCGUUUCACGCUCCA